Molecule: long non-coding RNA, 471 nt
Organism: Erigeron canadensis
Lineage: Eukaryota; Viridiplantae; Streptophyta; Magnoliopsida; Asterales; Asteraceae
Exons: 3
Source: RefSeq, a predicted model, not a curated record
UAUUGUAGAGAAAUGUGUAGAGAAAUUAGUUUUAUUACUAAAGAUUUUUCCGUGUUUUUAUCGGAGAAAAGAGCCCCCAUUUACUAAAUUAUGAGGUAUAUAAAUAUGUUGUAUCACGUGCCAUCCACAUUUUACAUAAAAACUUUCUACAAUCAACCAAGUCCUAACCCUUGCCAUUUGGGGGCUUCAGUGAUGAUGAUGCUCCUCUGUUAAUUGCAGCUGUCUCUGGUUUUUGAAUUCACAAGUCAAAAUUGUUGGGCAAAAUUUGAAAGAAUUACGUAAGAAUAAUACCCGCACGAUGCCACUAUAUAAUAGUGGCGAGAUGAUGACAGUGACGGGUGGCGAUAGCAUGUGGCGGUAGCAGCAAUGGUGGAGGUGGGCUGGUGGUGGUGCUGUUAUGGCGACGGAGAUGGUGGUGGUGACAGGUGGUGGUGCAAGAGGCCGUAGUAGCAACGAUGGUGGUGUGAUGGC